UACCUGUUGGUUUUCCCUCCCAGGUGUGUUUGCUCAUUAGUGCUCCCUCUUCACCUUGUGGUACGACAUUCCUUGUGUCUCCAGCUUCUUCCCAGUGUUUGUUCCAGAAGUGUUUGGGACCUUUUGUUUUCCUGGACUUUUGCCUGCUCCCCGUUUGCCUGCCUCACCAUCACGAUUAUUUCAACCUCACGGUACACUCACAACAUGAGAAGGUUGACUCUGCUGUUUGAUGUGAGGCUACAGCAGGUUAGCUUAGCAUAAAGACCUGAAGGCAGGAGGACACGGCUAACCAUCACCACCGGCCUGAUCUGGUCUGGUGUCCUGGGUUUGUCUGACGCAGCCUGCACCCCCCGAAUGUGAGACAGAGUCAAGGAGGUCUGACGUAACCUGCUCACCUUCGCUAUCUCGGUCGUCCCAGCAGGAAAUCAAUCAUUUCUUGUGACUUGUGCUGAUGUCUUCCAGCUGUGACCAUGUGACCAAGACCCUGACCAUGUGGACGGAUCUCCAAACAACUUGGACGAGACAGAAAAACACCUGCAGCUAUCCCUUCGGUACUGACACACCAUGUUUUUACCUGAAAAUUGACGGACUGCGCCUUUAUUUCCAGUGACAUCCAAGUUAUUAUCAGUAAGUCACAUCAGCAGCAGGAUUACUGACAGAACAACAAUCACAAAUUCAGCCUGAAUCAGAAAGUCAACAGGACAAACAAACCAUUUUGUUUCUCUGCAUUCUUUU
Long non-coding RNA from Scatophagus argus, 735 nucleotides. RefSeq lists it as uncharacterized. The transcript has 3 exons. The record is from RefSeq and is a predicted model, not a curated record. Lineage: Eukaryota; Metazoa; Chordata; Actinopteri; Scatophagidae.